This 307-nucleotide unclassified non-coding RNA is filed under the name plant metagenome. RNAcentral describes it as "partial contains 5.8S ribosomal RNA, internal transcribed spacer 2, and large subunit ribosomal RNA". The stretch from base 1 to 105 matches the Rfam family "5.8S ribosomal RNA", at positions 50 to 154 of the family's 154-position model. The record is from RNAcentral.
GAAAUGCGAUAAGUAGUGUGAAUUGCAGAAUUCAGUGAAUCAUCGAAUCUUUGAACGCACAUUGUGCCCCUCGGCAUUCCGUGGGGCAUGCCUGUUCGAGCGUCAUCUACACCCUCAAGCUCUGCUUGGUGUUGGGCGUCUGUCCCGCCUCCGCGCGCGGACUCGCCCCAAAUGCAUUGGCAGCGGUUCCUUGCCCCCCUCUUUGCGCAGCACAUUGCCAUUCGAGGCGGCGGCGGCCCGCGUCCAACAAGCUCAACCCCCCCGUCUUUGACCUCGGAUCAGGUAGGGAUACCCGCUGAACUUAAGC